This 683-nucleotide ribosomal RNA is filed under the name Vibrio sp. a143. RNAcentral describes it as "bacterial SSU rRNA". It matches the Rfam family "Bacterial small subunit ribosomal RNA", at positions 309 to 985 of the family's 1533-position model. Lineage: Bacteria; Pseudomonadati; Pseudomonadota; Gammaproteobacteria; Vibrionales; Vibrionaceae. The record is from RNAcentral.
CACACUGGACUGAGACACGGUCCAGACUCCUACGGGAGGCAGCAGUGGGGAAUAUUGCACAAUGGGCGCAAGCCUGAUGCAGCCAUGCCGCGUGUGUGAAGAAGGCCUUCGGGUUGUAAAGCACUUUCAGUCGUGAGGAAGGCGGUGUCGUUAAUAGCGGCCUCGUUUGACGUUAGCGACAGAAGAAGCACCGGCUAACUCCGUGCCAGCAGCCGCGGUAAUACGGAGGGUGCGAGCGUUAAUCGGAAUUACUGGGCGUAAAGCGCAUGCAGGUGGUUUGUUAAGUCAGAUGUGAAAGCCCGGGGCUCAACCUCGGAAUAGCAUUUGAAACUGGCAGACUAGAGUACUGUAGAGGGGGGUAGAAUUUCAGGUGUAGCGGUGAAAUGCGUAGAGAUCUGAAGGAAUACCGGUGGCGAAGGCGGCCCCCUGGACAGAUACUGACACUCAGAUGCGAAAGCGUGGGGAGCAAACAGGAUUAGAUACCCUGGUAGUCCACGCCGUAAACGAUGUCUACUUGGAGGUUGUGGCCUUGAGCCGUGGCUUUCGGAGCUAACGCGUUAAGUAGACCGCCUGGGGAGUACGGUCGCAAGAUUAAAACUCAAAUGAAUUGACGGGGGCCCGCACAAGCGGUGGAGCAUGUGGUUUAAUUCGAUGCAACGCGAAGAACCUUACCUACUCUUGAC